UACGUAGGGGGCGAGCGUUGUCCGGAAUCAUUGGGCGUAAAGAGCGUGUAGGCGGCUUGGCAAGUCUGACGUGAAAGCCCGCGGCUCAACCGCGGAUUGUCGUUGGAAACUGCCUCGCUAGAGUCCGGAAGAGGAAAGUGGAAUUCCUGGUGUAGCGGUGAAAUGCGCAGAUAUCAGGAAGAACACCAAUGGCGAAAGCAGCUUUCUGGGACGGUACUGACGCUGAGACGCGAAAGCGUGGGGAGCGAACAGG
RNAcentral lists this ribosomal RNA (253 nucleotides) under uncultured bacterium. RNAcentral's name for it is "partial 16S ribosomal RNA". It matches the Rfam family "Bacterial small subunit ribosomal RNA", at positions 524 to 776 of the family's 1533-position model. The record is from RNAcentral.